GGUGUGUAGCUCAGUGCUAGAGUGCAUACUUAGCACAAAGGAGGCCCUGGGUUCAGCCCCAGCUGGCACCA
RNAcentral lists this transfer RNA (71 nucleotides) under Marmota monax (woodchuck). Its description in RNAcentral is "tRNA.Ala". The record is from RNAcentral. Lineage: Eukaryota; Metazoa; Chordata; Mammalia; Rodentia; Sciuridae.